CGCCCGCCGUUUUCCACGGGACAGAUCGGCGUCCCGCGUCUGUACUUGCGUCCAGGCGGCUGGCGCUCGCCGCUCAGAGCACGGAUCAUCGCCUCGUCGACUCCUAGCAGUGCCCUCCGGGACAGGAAGACAGGAUAGGUAAUCUUCAGUUUGUUGUAUCUGUCAUCUAAUUUUCUCUAGUUUUCUUUCUAUUUGCCCAAGUCAAUGAGUUUGUGACAUUCAAUUGUAUUACUUUAAUCACUUCUAUUUCAUUGUUAUUUGUUAACAUGAAAUAUUGUUCAAAAUCCAAGAUGAAGAGGAUUCAAACAAUUGAAGAGGAAAUAUUGUUCAAAAUCCUUGAUUCUGCUUUGUCACUACAGCAACCGUAGAAAGAGCUUUCUCAGCUAUGAGCAUUGUCAAAACUGAAUUGCGGAAUAAGAUGAAUGAUGAAUGGAUGAAUCAUCGUUUGGUGUGCUAUAUUGAGCGUGAUGUAUUUGCAAGCAUUGAUGAUAUUAAGAUUAUACAGUGCUAUCAAAAAAUGAGGAAACAAAAGGGGCUACUACCUCGUGCACUUC
This 554-nucleotide long non-coding RNA is filed under the name Triticum aestivum (bread wheat). RNAcentral describes it as "long non-coding RNA (TAES_LNC022493)". Lineage: Eukaryota; Viridiplantae; Streptophyta; Magnoliopsida; Poales; Poaceae. The record is from RNAcentral.